CGCUAGCUACAGGCUUAACACAUGCAAGUCGAGGGGCAGCAUUUUAGUUUGCUUGCAAACUGAAGAUGGCGACCGGCGCACGGGUGAGUAACACGUAUCCAACCUGCCGAUAACUCCGGAAUAGCCUUUCGAAAGAAAGAUUAAUACCGGAUAGCAUACGAAUAUCGCAUGAUAUUUUUAUUAAAGAAUUUCGGUUAUCGAUGGGGAUGCGUUCCAUUAGUUUGUUGGCGGGGUAACGGCCCACCAAGACUACGAUGGAUAGGGGUUCUGAGAGGAAGGUCCCCCACAUUGGAACUGAGACACGGUCCAAACUCCUACGGGAGGCAGCAGUGAGGAAUAUUGGUCAAUGGGCGAGAGCCUGAACCAGCCAAGUAGCGUGAAGGAUGAAGGCUCUAUGGGUCGUAAACUUCUUUUAUAUGGGAAUAAAGUUUUCCACGUGUGGAAUUUUGUAUGUACCAUAUGAAUAAGGAUCGGCUAACUCCGUGCCAGCAGCCGCGGUAAUACGGAGGGUCCGAGCGUUAUCCGGAUUUAUUGGGUUUAAAGGGAGCGUAGGUGGAUUGUUAAGUCAGUUGUGAAAGUUUGCGGCUCAACCGUAAAAUUGCAGUUGAAACUGGCAGUCUUGAGUACAGUAGAGGUGGGCGGAAUUCGUGGUGUAGCGGUGAAAUGCUUAGAUAUCACGAAGAACUCCGAUUGCGAAGGCAGCUCACUAGACUGUCACUGACACUGAUGCUCGAAAGUGUGGGUAUCAAACAGGAUUAGAUACCCUGGUAGUCCACACAGUAAACGAUGAAUACUCGCUGUUUGCGAUAUACAGUAAGCGGCCAAGCGAAAACAUUAAGUAUUCCACCUGGGGAGUACGCCGGCAACGGUGAAACUCAAAGGAAUUGACGGGGGCCCGCACAAGCGGAGGAACAUGUGGUUUAAUUCGAUGAUACGCGAGGAACCUUACCCGGGCUUAAAUUGCAACAGAAUAUAUUGGAAACAGUAUAGCCGUAAGGCUGUUGUGAAGGUGCUGCAUGGUUGUCGUCAGCUCGUGCCGUGAGGUGUCGGCUUAAGUGCCAUAACGAGCGCAACCCUUAUCUUUAGUUACUAACAGGUCAUGCUGAGGACUCUAGAGAGACUGCCGUCGUAAGAUGUGAGGAAGGUGGGGAUGACGUCAAAUCAGCACGGCCCUUACGUCCGGGGCUACACACGUGUUACAAUGGGGGGUACAGAAGGCGGCUACCUGGUGACAGGAUGCUAAUCCCAAAAACCUCUCUCAGUUCGGAUCGAAGUCUGCAACCCGACUUCGUGAAGCUGGAUUCGCUAGUAAUCGCGCAUCAGCCAUGGCGCGGUGAAUACGUUCCCGGGCCUUGUACACACCGCCCGUCAAGCCAUGAAAGCCGGGGGUACCUGAAGUACGUAACCGCAAGGAGCGUCCUAGGGUAAAACUGGUAAUUGGGGCU
Molecule: ribosomal RNA, 1445 nt
Filed under: uncultured organism
Description: SSU rRNA
Rfam family: Bacterial small subunit ribosomal RNA
Source: RNAcentral